GACGAACGCUGGCGGCGUGCUUAACACAUGCAAAUCGAACGGAAAGGCCCUGCUUUUGUGGGGUGCUCGAGUGGCGAACGGGUGAGUAACACGUGAGUAACCUGCCCUUGACUUUGGGAUAACUUCAGGAAACUGGGGCUAAUACCGGAUAGGAGCUCCUGCUGCAUGGUGGGGGUUGGAAAGUUUCGGCGGUUGGGGAUGGACUCGCGGCUUAUCAGCUUGUUGGUGGGGUAGUGGCUUACCAAGGCUUUGACGGGUAGCCGGCCUGAGAGGGUGACCGGCCACAUUGGGACUGAGAUACGGCCCAGACUCCUACGGGAGGCAGCAGUGGGGAAUAUUGCACAAUGGGCGGAAGCCUGAUGCAGCAACGCCGCGUGCGGGAUGAUGGCCUUCGGGUUGUAAACCGCUUUCGCCUGUGACGAAGCGUGAGUGACGGUAAUGGGUAAAGAAGCACCGGCUAACUACGUG
Molecule: ribosomal RNA, 468 nt
Filed under: uncultured bacterium
Lineage: Bacteria
Description: partial 16S ribosomal RNA
Rfam family: Bacterial small subunit ribosomal RNA
Source: RNAcentral